RNAcentral lists this ribosomal RNA (550 nucleotides) under uncultured bacterium. RNAcentral's name for it is "bacterial SSU rRNA". It matches the Rfam family "Bacterial small subunit ribosomal RNA", at positions 355 to 896 of the family's 1533-position model. The record is from RNAcentral.
UGGGGAAUAUUGGACAAUGGGCGAAAGCCUGAUCCAGCCAUGCCGCGUGUGUGAAGAAGGCCUUAUGGUUGUAAAGCACUUUAAGUGGGGAGGAAAAGCUUAUGGAUAACACCCAUAGGUUCUGACGUUACCCACAGAAUAAGCACCGGCUAACUCUGUGCCAGCAGCCGCGGUAAUACAGAGGGUGCAAGCGUUAAUCGGAAUUACUGGGCGUAAAGCGAGCGUAGGUGGUUUAUUAAGUCAGAUGUGAAAUCCCUGGGCUUAACCUAGGAACUGCAUCUGAUACUGAUAAACUAGAGUAGGUGAGAGGAAAGUAGAAUUCCAGGUGUAGCGGUGAAAUGCGUAGAGAUCUGGAGGAAUACCGAUGGCGAAGGCAGCUUUCUGGCAUCAUACUGACACUGAGGUUCGAAAGCGUGGGUAGCAAACAGGAUUAGAUACCCUGGUAGUCCACGCCGUAAACGAUGUCUACCAGUCGUUGGGUCUUUUAAAGGCUUAGUGACGCAGUUAACGCGAUAAAGUAGACCGCCUGGGGAGUACGGCCGCAAGGUUA